RNAcentral lists this ribosomal RNA (482 nucleotides) under uncultured bacterium. RNAcentral's name for it is "bacterial SSU rRNA". It matches the Rfam family "Bacterial small subunit ribosomal RNA", at positions 476 to 959 of the family's 1533-position model. The record is from RNAcentral.
UACCUGUAUAAGCAGCCCCGGCUAACUCCGUGCCAGCAGCCGCGGUAAUACGGAGGGGGCGAGCGUUGUUCGGAGUGACUGGGCGUAAAGAGCACGUAGGCGGUGAUGUAAGUCAUUGGUUAAAGGCAGCAGCUCAACUGCUGUAAGGCCGAUGAUACUAUGUUGCUGGAGUGCCGGAGAGGAUUGCAGAAUUCCUGGUGUAGCGGUGAAAUGCGUAGAUAUCAGGAGGAAUACCUGUUGCGAAGGCGGCAAUCUGGUCGGUAACUGACGCUGAGGUGCGAAAGCGUGGGUAGCAAACAGGAUUAGAUACCCUGGUAGUCCACGCUGUAAACGAUGGACGCUAGAUGUCGGGAGGUAUACUUUCGGUGUCGCAGCAAACGCGAUAAGCGUCCCGCCUGGGGAGUACGUUCGCAAGAAUGAAACUCAAAGGAAUUGACGGGGGCCCGCACAAGCGGUGGAGCACGUGGUUUAAUUCGAUGCUA